Molecule: long non-coding RNA, 881 nt
Filed under: Triticum aestivum (bread wheat)
Lineage: Eukaryota; Viridiplantae; Streptophyta; Magnoliopsida; Poales; Poaceae
Description: long non-coding RNA (TAES_LNC007882)
Source: RNAcentral
GUAGCCUACAAGGGCAGCGAGUACAGACAACUCAUAGGAGGCUCAAGCCCUCGUAGUUGACACUAGGCUUAACUCACUAACCGAAGAGCCUACGUAGGUGGAGCUGCUAUAUCUGAUGGCUUGCUCGGGUUGCCCACUGAGCCAUAUGACUUUCGAGGAAGUUACCUCGGUCGAUCGAUCGAUGCGUUCUAAUGAAGUUCCGGUGCUCUUGUCAUGGUGGUGGUUGGCUAGGUUCUGAUUAGCUAAGUUGAAUAUGCAGUGAUGCAGAACAGAUGUAGGGGGCAAGCAUGUAUAUAUAGCUGUAGUUCCUUUCUUUCUUUUGUUGGUCUUAUUACAUGAGCAAUUAGGUCUAAUAGUAGCUAGUUUUAGAUUGGGUUCUUGUUUAUCAGAUGACCUUCCGCGCCAUGGCAAAUGCAAUAUAAUCCUCCACUGGUACUCAGUUCUCUUGUAUAGUACGGAGUACUCUCUCCAUUCCGUUAUACAAGGUCACUUCAUAUUUUUCAUGUCUAACUUUGACCAUUAAUUUACCAACAAAAAGUGAGUUAUAUACCACAAAAAGUACUUCAUUGGAUGCACAUUUCAAAGAACUUUCUGAUGAUAUAUUUUUGAUGACAUAUAAUCCAUAUUUUGUUGACCAAAAUUAUAAAUCAAAAUUUGACUUGAAAAACGAAGUGACCUUGUAUAUAGGGGAAUAAAGGGAGUACCAUGUUUGCUCCGUAGCUGAGUCUUUUUUUUUUGAACAAGAGGCAAACGAUUUGCCUCGUUCAUCAGUUAUCCCGAUUCGACAUUAAAAGUAUAUUGAUUCUUUCCCGUCUAGUGGUUCAGGACAUCUCUCUUUCAAGGAGGCAGCGGGGAUUCGACUUCCAAGAGGAAUGUUUCCC